Molecule: small RNA, 4489 nt
Filed under: Pan troglodytes (chimpanzee)
Lineage: Eukaryota; Metazoa; Chordata; Mammalia; Primates; Hominidae
Description: retained intron
Source: RNAcentral
AGGAGUCCAUGGCAAAUGAUGUGGAUAAAGAGCUAAUGAAGCAGAUUCUCUGCCUUGUCAAUGUUAGUCACAAUGGUGUGAGUGAAUCAGAACUGAUGGAACUCUAUCCUGAGAUGUCCUGGACUUUCUUGACCUCCCUUAUUCACAGUUUAUACAAAAUGUGUUUGUUGACUUAUGGAUGUGGCUUGCUUAGGUUUCAACAUCUGCAGGCUUGGGAAACAGUGAGACUGGAGUACCUGGAAGGCCCCACUGUUACUUCUUCAUACAGGCAAAAGCUAAUCAACUAUUUCACCUUGCAGCUAAGUCAGGACAGAGUGACUUGGAGAAGUGCAGAUGAACUCCCGUGGCUUUUUCAGCAGCAGGGAAGUAAACAGAAGCUGCAUGAUUGCCUUCUUAAUCUCUUUGUGUCUCAAAACCUUUAUAAAAGGGGACACUUUGCUGAGUUGCUGAGUUAUUGGCAGUUUGUUGGCAAAGACAAAAGUGCAAUGGCAACAGAAUACUUCGAUUCAUUGAAGCAGUAUGAGAAAAACUGCGAAGGCGAGGACAACAUGAGUUGCUUAGCUGAUCUUUAUGAAACCUUGGGGCGAUUUCUCAAGGAUCUAGGCCUUCUCAGUCAGGCCAUAGUACCUUUGCAGAGGUCUUUAGAGAUUCGAGAAACAGCUUUAGAUCCCGAUCACCCAAGAGUAGCCCAGUCCCUCCACCAACUAGCAAGUGUAUACGUGCAGUGGAAGAAGUUUGGCAAUGCAGAACAACUGUAUAAACAGGCAUUGGAAAUCUCAGAAAAUGCUUAUGGUGCGGACCAUCCAUAUACUGCUCGUGAACUUGAGGCACUUGCAACUUUGUACCAGAAACAAAAUAAAUAUGAACAAGCUGAACAUUUUAGGAAAAAAUCCUUUAAAAUUCAUCAGAAAGCUAUAAAGAAAAAAGGCAACUUGUACGGAUUUGCCCUUUUACGUAGACGGGCUCUACAGUUAGAAGAGCUUACAUUAGGUAAGGACACACCUGAUAAUGCUCGGACCCUCAACGAACUGGGUGUUCUCUACUACCUUCAAAAUAACCUGGAGUGAGUACCAUGGGGUUAAUAAUGAAAAUAAUUAACCAUUUUCUCUUUGAUGCAAUGCUGUUUUACAUUUUUAUCAAGUCUAAAGCUAGAAAAAAAAUGAUAAAAACCAUGCAAAAUUUCAUGUAUGAUGUUAUAUAAUGAGCAUACACAUACCUAAAGACCAUGGCAUUUUCUCUACUGUGUUUCUUUUCACACUCUUUUUUUUUUUGAGACAGAGUCUCGCUCUGUUGCCCAGGCUGGAGUGCAGUGGCGUGAUCUCGGCUCACUGCAACUUCCACCUCCCAUUCAAGCUAUUCUCCUGCCUCAGCCUCCCGAGUAACUGGGACUACAGGCGCAUGCCACCACGCCCAACUAAUUUUUUGCAUUUUUAGUAGAGACAGGGUUUCACUGUGUUAGCCAGGAUGGUCUCGAUCUCCUGACCUCGUGAUCUGCCCGCCUUGGCUUCCCAAAGUGCUAGGAUUACAGGCGUAAGCCACCACGCCUGGCCCACAUUGUUUCUUAACUGAAAAGUUAUUCUGUAGCUUCCCUGGUGUAUUUUAUAUAUUUAUGAAAAGUGAGUUUGUGUAGAUAUUGUGCAUGAGAUCUCACAGAAGCAGCAGCUUGGGACUAAUAGUAAAUAAUGUAGACGGUUUCUAGUUUUGUCAGUUUAUUUGGGCAAAAGGAUUCAAAAUGACAUUUAUAUUUAUAUGUUAUAAAAAGUAUUUUUGGACUUCAUAUAUCAGAAAAAUAUAACAAAUUUGAAACUUUGGAUGUCAGAAAAGUAUAAUAAAUCUGUAGCCCACUUACAGAAACUUAUAUAAAAAAUAAUGAUUUAUUCUUUUGUUAAAAAUUAUUUAGUACUGGCUGGGCAUGAUAGCUCAUGCCUGUAAUCCCAGAGCUUUAGGAGGCUGAGGCAUUAGGAUCACUUGAAGCCAGGAAUUCAAGACCAGCCUGGGCAACAUAGUGAGACCCUGUCUCUACAAAAAAAAUUAAUAAAUUAGCCAGACAUGGUGGUACACACCUGUAGACCCAGCAACUUGAGAGGCUAAGGUGGGAGGAUCACUUGAGCCUAGGAGUUCAAGGUUACACACAUGCACACAUACAAAAAAAUAAAAUAAAGAAAUAAAAAUUAUUUAGUACUAACUCCAAAGGGAGGAAGAGUGAAUACAAAAAUCUUUUAUUGGACCUAGGUCUAAUAAUUUUUAAAGUAUAAAAGUUUGUUUUGGAAAAUACCUAUCAGUUUUUCUUUCAGAAGUGGAGAAUUGAGGCAAUCAUCCACACAUUUUAGGCCCUCAAACUAUCAGGAAAAGGGCAGGAAGAGAUAGGGGUGGGGAAGAGGGGGAAAGUAAGAUUUUGAGCUGAAUCUCUUAUUUUAACUAGAAUCUAAGAAUAAAGAUGAGUCAGUUCUCCACUUAAUUUAGGGGUCAGGAUUCCAAACUCUAGAAAAUAGAUAGUUUAAGCCAUUUUGGGAUUGUGUUCACAGAACAGCUGACCAGUUUCUGAAGCGUUCCUUAGAAAUGAGGGAGCGAGUUCUAGGACCAGAUCACCCUGACUGUGCUCAGUCUUUGAAUAAUCUGGCAGCUCUAUGCAAUGAAAAGAAACAGUAUGAUAAAGCAGAAGAACUUUAUGAAAGAGCUUUAGAUAUUCGGAGACGUGCAUUAGCUCCUGAUCACCCUUCUUUGGCAUAUACGGUGAAGCAUCUUGCCAUCUUGUAUAAGAAAAUGGGGAAACUUGACAAAGCUGUACCUUUGUAUGAAUUGGCUGUUGAAAUUCGACAGAAAUCUUUUGGCCCAAAGCACCCUAGUGUAGCUACUGCCUUGGUGAACUUAGCUGUUCUUUAUAGCCAAAUGAAAAAACACGUUGAAGCUUUGCCAUUGUAUGAAAGAGCAUUAAAGAUUUAUGAAGAUAGCCUGGGUCGGAUGCAUCCUCGAGUUGGAGAAACACUGAAAAAUUUAGCUGUGCUUAGCUAUGAAGGAGGAGAUUUUGAAAAAGCUGCUGAAUUAUACAAAAGGGCAAUGGAAAUAAAAGAAGCAGAAACAUCACUCUUGGGUGGAAAAGCUCCUUCAAGCCAUUCAUCAAGUGGAGACACGUUUAGCUUAAAAACAGCUCAUUCUCCUAAUGUUUUCCUUCAGCAAGGACAAAGGUAAUAGCAGCAGUUAGAAUUCUUUGCAAAUGUACCUUAAGACAAAAUAAUUAAACAUUUGGAACAUUUAAAUUUGAAACUUUAAAAAAAAGUUGUACGAAAUUUUACUAUGUGUGAUUUAACUGCUAUUUGUAUGAAGUUGUAUUGGACUACAUUAAGUUGGAAUUGUGAUUAUGUCUGUUUUAGUUGUUUAAAAGAAUUUUCCUAUUAUAUGGUAUCCAAGGAUGUAGACACAUUAGAAUUAUAAGAUGACAUGAGGAGCAAAUCAUGAAGAGCGGAUUGGUCUUUGUUCAACAAGAGCUGGCAGAGUAGUCAAGACAAGGAGUUCAAAAAUUCCAUGAAUCUUGGCCAGGCAUGGUGGCUCAUGCCUGUAAUCCCACCACUUUGGGAGGGUGAUGCAGGAGGAUCACUUGAGGCCAGGAGUUCGAGACCAGCCUGGCCAACAUGGUGAAACCCUGUCUCUACUAAAAAUACAAAAAAAAAUUAGCUGGACCUGGUGGCGCAUGCCUGUAAUCCUAGCUACUCAGGAGGCUGAGGCAUGAGAAUCGCUUGAACUCAGCAAGUGGAGGUUGCUAUGAGCUGAGAUUGUGCCAGUUCAUUCCAUCCUGGGCAACAGGGUGAGACUCUGUCUCAAAAAAAAAAAAAAAAAAAAAAAAAGAAUUCCAUGAUUCUUUUGAGCUCUCAAGAGCUACUUUAGCCUUGCCAUUCCUCUUGCUUUUCAGCAGUAGUCUGGCCCAAUUCUCUACCUCAAAGGAAAGUUUCAAGGAUUAAAGGGUUAAUGUUUAUGAACGAUUCAAAUUGUCUUCAGUGAAACACAUUAGUCACAAGAAUCCCUGAUUGCUGCACUUUAAAAAAUUCUUUACCUUUUCCUUGAGCAGAUUGGUCCAGUCCCUCUGCUUUCUGUUCUGUCUACAUUGUGUAUUAUUUAUUACUAUAUAGUAUAUGUAUCUGCAUGUCUGAAGUCAUUAAUGCAGUAACAGGUCAAGCUCUUUAGCAUUCUUUGACUUUUCCCAAAAUAUAGAUAUGACAUUCUCCUUUAUCUUCCUUCUUAGAUGGCCUAAAUCUGUCUCUUCAUUUACCUCAAACUCAAAUUAGUAUGCCAUUUUCAUACUGAAAAUUAAAUAUUUUUAUGGAUUUUAAAAAUAUUGCAACAUUUUAGAUAUUGUUUUGGACCAUUUGUGUAUUUAUAUAUAAUAAAAUCAUCAAUUUAAUACUUGUAAGAUCCUAACAUGUAUUAAUUGUAAAAGUGAAAUAUGUAAUAGCCACACUUCACUGUUUUAAAAUAAAAGUGCAAUUUCAAGUUC